UACGUAGGGACCGAGCGUUGUCCGGAAUUACUGGGCGUAAAGAGCUCGUAGGUGGUUUGUCGCGUUGUUCGUGAAAACCUGAGGCUUAACCUUGGGCGUGCGGGCGAUACGGGCAGACUGGAGUACUGCAGGGGAGACUGGAAUUCCUGGUGUAGCGGUGGAAUGCGCAGAUAUCAGGAGGAACACCGGUGGCGAAGGCGGGUCUCUGGGCAGUAACUGACGCUGAGGAGCGAAAGCGUGGGGAGCGAACAGG
RNAcentral lists this ribosomal RNA (253 nucleotides) under uncultured bacterium. RNAcentral describes it as "partial 16S ribosomal RNA". It matches the Rfam family "Bacterial small subunit ribosomal RNA", at positions 524 to 776 of the family's 1533-position model. The record is from RNAcentral.